GACGAACGCUGGCGGCGUGCUUAACACAUGCAAGUCGAGCGGUAAGGCCCUUUCGGGGGUACGACGAGCGGCGAACGGGUGAGUAACACGUGGGUGACCUGCCCUCAGCUCUGGGAUAAGCCUGGGAAACCGGGUCUAAUACUGGAUAUGACUCCAUGACGCAUGUUGGUGGGGUGGAAAGCCUUGUGCGGCUGAGGAUGGGCCCGCGGCCUAUCAGCUUGUUGGUGGGGUGANGGCCUACCAAGGCGACGACGGGUAGCCGGCCUGAGAGGGCGACCGGCCACACUGGGACUGAGACACGGCCCAGACUCCUACGGGAGGCAGCAGUGGGGAAUCUUGCGCAAUGGGCGAAAGCCUGACGCAGCGACGCCGCGUGAGGGAUGACGGCCUCGGUGUAAC
This 399-nucleotide ribosomal RNA is filed under the name uncultured bacterium. RNAcentral's name for it is "bacterial SSU rRNA". It matches the Rfam family "Bacterial small subunit ribosomal RNA", at positions 28 to 429 of the family's 1533-position model. The record is from RNAcentral.